This is a non-coding RNA of Pelobates cultripes (western spadefoot toad), 560 nucleotides long. The record is from the annotation of a GenBank genome assembly. Lineage: Eukaryota; Metazoa; Chordata; Amphibia; Anura; Pelobatidae.
CAAUUAGCACCGAACGUGAGUCACUUCUAACUGAUGAUAAGGCACAAGUACAAGAUAGGAAAUUAAUCCGAUGUAUCGCCACAUAUGAUGCAGGUUGGGAUUUCAUGAUGGGUACAUUGAAGCGCUUCUGGCCCAUCUUGACAUCUGACCCACAAGUGAAAGAGGUAGUCACCACAUUCCCCUCUGUGACAGCACGGAGGGGUAAAAAACCUACGAGAUACGUUGGUACAGAGUCAUUUACCCCCUCUUAAAAGAGGGUUUCAAAACUAUUUGCCCAAAGGGACGUAUAGGUGCGGACAUUGCAGUGCAUGCGGAUUUAUCGAUCAAAAAUCUAAGGAAUUCACGGACAGCAAUAAUAGAGAAACCUUUCCAGUCCGUUCGUUUGUUAAUUGUAGGACGGAGGGUGUUAUCUAUUUACUUACCUGUUCAUGUGGCAUUAAAUAUGUGGGGAAAACGUUUAGACCCUUCAAAUUAAGGAUUCGGGAACAUGUAAAUUCGGUCAGAAGACCCUUAGAAACUCCAAUCUCACGCCAUUUGAGAAUUCACCAUUCAAAUUCUGC